UCAGAAAAACAAGCAUGGUAAUAUAAUAUGUGUUUUCACAAACAAACCUCAACAACAUAUUUUGUUGUACAUUUAUUCAUAACUUUAGCAUGUUUAUGCAUUCUGACAAACUUUGGAUUUCCUUUCAAAUAAAUAUUUUAAUGGUAUUAACCAAUUAUAUUGUGUCACAUGAUUUUAAAAUGACAGAAAAUCAUUAAUCUCAAGAUUGUGUUGCAUGGUCAAAACUUUUUACAGCCACAAAAAACUCUGCCUAAAAUCCUAGCUAGAACACUAUGGAUAUGAUUGAUAUUACAUCAAUGAGAUAACAAUCAAGCAGAAUAUAAUUCCUUCCCUAAAAAUUUUAUUUGCACUUUUUAAAUUUAAAAAAAAAAGUUUCAAAAAAAAAAAUCUCAAGGUAAAGUAUGAAUGAAAAUCCUAUCAACUGACUUAAAUCACAUUUUUU
RNAcentral lists this long non-coding RNA (442 nucleotides) under Mytilus galloprovincialis (Mediterranean mussel). The record is from RNAcentral. Lineage: Eukaryota; Metazoa; Mollusca; Bivalvia; Mytilida; Mytilidae.